Pogona vitticeps (central bearded dragon) is the source of this 1710-nucleotide long non-coding RNA. The record is from Ensembl. Lineage: Eukaryota; Metazoa; Chordata; Lepidosauria; Squamata; Agamidae.
UUUGGGAUGUUUUUUUUUAAUACCGAGGAUUAUAAAACACAAAUGUAGGAAGCAAAGAUUGAAGGACCCUUAAAAGAGUUCCUGAGAAACGUACCGUGAUUUCUCCUCCCCUUGCAGAUGGCUGUAUUAGAACAUCUCUCUGCUCCACAACUGGCGUCUUUCAGUCUUCAGUCAGGGGCUGUCAACGAGGAGGAAAAGAUGUGCCAGAUUCUUGCGAGGUUACAAAGCAAACCGCUGGAAGAGAUCUACCAGUAUCUGGAUCAGUUUGGCCUGGAGGCCCAGAAGGUACCGCCUUUAAACAUAGGCAGAGAACAAGUAAAGUUCAAUGAUUUCUCCACAAAUGUCUCUGUGGCCCAUUGCCUGCUGAUACUUUAACUCUGAGCAGCUGGAAUGUUUGUGAGCAUUCCAGGGAUCCCAUCGCUUAAGCUAGGAAAGGGAGCAGAAAAAUCAGACCAGCGGUUUUGUUACAGCUCAUUACAGAGACACAGAGUUGCAUUGUUAUUUGGAGACUGGUCCUAAAUAGUUAAGCAAUUGUGCAAUUUCCCCCCAUUUUAAAAUAUACAGCUUGGAAUAACGUCUCUGAAAGAGGAAGAUGUGCGGAAGAAGAUGCUCGUGAAGUUUCUUGAGGCAAUUGAACCCGAGUUCUCAACCUUCCGUCCCAUAAGCUGGGGUCACUUGCUCUCCACAAGGCUGGGGCUUUUCCUACCAAGCGCCGGGGGAACAGAAGCACAAAAGAUCUUGUCUCAUGUUUCUGGCUGCGACAAUUUCCAGGCUGUGGUCUCCUCUCUGAGCCAGGCUUACCCGGCGAUACCAGCGACCGACCAACAAAGCAUCUACAGCGCCCUGUUUACUUUCCUGGAAGACCAGCACAAGACCACAGGCUCGGCGUGUGUCUCUAGAGCCAUGGACUCCGAGGCCUGGCUGCAGGAGAACCUCGGGGCGUUCGCCGCUAACGCUCCUUACGAAGAUUUCACCAAGCUGUUGCGGAGUUUCGAUGGGUUUGAUGUCAGGGAUAACCUCACCGCCAUCCAGCUCGCUCACCUCUUUUUUGAACCCGGGGUCCUGGCGUCUCCAGAUUCAGCCCAUGCCCUCUUAACGCCCUUGGAAAACAGGCCGCUUGAGGACGCCCUUGUCUUUGUGACCGAAUUUUCAGCCGUCGCUUCUCAAAAUGGCGUAUCAUUCCUAGCAAACAAAGAUGUGCGAGACGCAAUGUUUGAAACCCUCUUCAGCAAAAUGCAAAAUCUGCUCCCUACUGCCGGUCUCUCCCAGUACAAAGACUGGUUCCAGGACAAGCUGGCCUUAUGGCUUCCCAGUCUCAAUGCCUCGGCCCUUGCUGCUAUCCCAAAGACCAUAUCAUGUGACAUUUUCAAAACCAUAAUGGCUGGCUUGGACCGCAGUUUUCCACACAUGUCACAAGAAACCCGCCAAGAUGUCUACAGAUUUGCCAAAGAUUAUUUGACUAUGAAGAUGUCCCAAGGGGGCAGUCCCUGUACAGAAAACACCCCAGGCAGCUCCGGCUGGCUAGAGGCCAACUUUGGCGCCUUCAGCUCAGUCGCCCUUUACCAAGACCUGGUGGGCAUCAAUCCACAGCUCGACGCUGUAAGUAACCUGGCCGGACGGGUGGGUCCCUUCCUUGGGUGCUGGCUUGGCCCGGGGUUUCCCCGUGUUUCCCUGACCCGCUGGGCCUCUUCCCUAGAUGGAUGCUCUUGA